Molecule: ribosomal RNA, 253 nt
Filed under: uncultured bacterium
Lineage: Bacteria
Description: partial 16S ribosomal RNA
Rfam family: Bacterial small subunit ribosomal RNA
Source: RNAcentral
GACAGAGGGUGCAAACGUUGUUCGGAUUUACUGGGCGUAAAGCGCGUGUAGGCGGCUUCGUAAGUUGGAUGUGAAAUCCCACGGCUCAACCGUGGACGUGCAUCCAAAACUACGUCGCUGGAGUCUCGGAGAGGAAGGUGGAAUGCUUGGUGUAGAGGUGAAAUUCGUAGAUAUCAAGCAGAACACCUGCGGCGAAGGCGGCCUUCUGGACGGUGACUGACGCUGAGACGCGAAAGCGUGGGGAGCAAACAGG